AGACGUCUACAUUAGAUACCCCCGUAGUCCCAGCCGUAAACUAUGCGCGUUAGGUGUAUCGGUGACCACGAGUUACCGAGGUGCCGAAGGGAAACCGUGAAACGUGCCACCUGGGAAGUACGGCCGCAAGGCUGAAACUUAAAGGAAUUGGCGGGGAGCACCACAACGGGUGGAGCCUGCGGUUUAAUUGGACUCAACGCCGGGAAGCUCACCGGAUAAGACAGCGGAAUGAUUGCCGGGCUGAAGACUCUGCAUGACUAGCUG
RNAcentral lists this ribosomal RNA (264 nucleotides) under uncultured archaeon. RNAcentral describes it as "partial 16S ribosomal RNA". It matches the Rfam family "Archaeal small subunit ribosomal RNA", at positions 714 to 982 of the family's 1478-position model. The record is from RNAcentral.